AUGGGGAUUUACUGUUUCAAAUGUAUAAUAUUGAAUUUAUUAAAAAAGUGAAAAUACUUUUGUUUUUAAAAAAGACGAGAAAACCCUAAGAAUUUUUAGAAUAUAUUUAUACAAUUAUUUCUUUUUGUUGGGGCGACAAUUAAACAAUUAAACUUUAAUUAUUUUUUAAUCGGUUUUUUCAGUAAAAAAUAAAUUACCUUAGGGAUAACAGCAUAAUUUAAAAAAGUUUGUGACCUCAAUGUUGGACUAGGAACUUUAUAGCUAGCAGUUAAAAAAGAUUGUUCUGUUCGAACAAUAUCUCCUACAUGAUCUGAGUACAAACCGGAGC
Molecule: ribosomal RNA, 328 nt
Filed under: Ancylus fluviatilis
Lineage: Eukaryota; Metazoa; Mollusca; Gastropoda; Ancylidae
Description: partial 16S ribosomal RNA
Source: RNAcentral